Molecule: ribosomal RNA, 497 nt
Filed under: uncultured bacterium
Lineage: Bacteria
Description: partial 16S ribosomal RNA
Rfam family: Bacterial small subunit ribosomal RNA
Source: RNAcentral
GAUGAACGCUGGCGGCGUGCCUAAUACAUGCAAGUCGAGCGAACAGACGAGGAGCUUGCUCCUCUGACGUUAGCGGCGGACGGGUGAGUAACACGUGGAUAACCUACCUAUAAGACUGGGAUAACUUCGGGAAACCGGAGCUAAUACCGGAUAAUAUAUUGAACCGCAUGGUUCAAUAGUGAAAGACGGUUUUGCUGUCACUUAUAGAUGGAUCCGCGCCGCAUUAGCUAGUUGGUAAGGUAACGGCUUACCAAGGCAACGAUGCGUAGCCGACCUGAGAGGGUGAUCGGCCACACUGGAACUGAGACACGGUCCAGACUCCUACGGGAGGCAGCAGUAGGGAAUCUUCCGCAAUGGGCGAAAGCCCGACGGAGCAACGCCGCGUGAGUGAUGAAGGUCUUCGGAUCGUAAAACUCUGUCAUUAGGGAAGAACAAAUGUGUAAGUAACUAUGCACGUCUUGACGGUACCUAAUCAGAAAGCCACGGCUAACUACGUG